UUGACCUCGGAUCAGGUAGGGAUACCCAGUUC
Molecule: ribosomal RNA, 32 nt
Filed under: fungal sp. 3.23.3A
Lineage: Eukaryota; Fungi
Description: partial 28S ribosomal RNA
Source: RNAcentral